Molecule: ribosomal RNA, 496 nt
Filed under: uncultured bacterium
Lineage: Bacteria
Description: bacterial SSU rRNA
Rfam family: Bacterial small subunit ribosomal RNA
Source: RNAcentral
UCAGGACGAACGCUGGCGGCGUGCUUAACACAUGCAAGUCGAACGGAACACCCUUGACAGAGGUUUCGGCCAAUGAAGAGGAAUGUUUAGUGGCGGACUGGUGAGUAACGCGUGAGGAACCUGCCUUUCAGAGGGGGACAACAGUUGGAAACGACUGCUAAUACCGCAUGAAGCAGCGAGGGGACAUCCCUUUGCUGUCAAAGAUUUAUCGCUGAAAGAUGGCCUCGCGUCUGAUUAGCUAGUUGGUGGGGUAACGGCCCACCAAGGCGACGAUCAGUAGCCGGACUGAGAGGUUGACCGGCCACAUUGGGACUGAGAUACGGCCCAGACUCCUACGGGAGGCAGCAGUGGGGAAUAUUGGGCAAUGGACGCAAGUCUGACCCAGCAACGCCGCGUGAAGGAAGAAGGCUUUCGGGUUGUAAACUUCUUUUAACAGGGAAGAGAAGAAGACGGUACCUGUUGAAUAAGCCACGGCUAACUACGUGCCAGCCGCGGC